This 1592-nucleotide long non-coding RNA is filed under the name Bemisia tabaci. RNAcentral describes it as "lncRNA ENSSSA3NGG000277". The record is from RNAcentral. Lineage: Eukaryota; Metazoa; Arthropoda; Insecta; Hemiptera; Aleyrodidae.
AAAAUCUAUGAAGGCAAUGUAAGGAAUUGAUGUUUUAUCCAUUCCAAAAAAAAAAUCUCAAGAUUGUAGGAUUUUUAAUGAAUCAUGAACCUUGAUUGCAGGGGAAAAAGAAAAAAGUUCCGGAAACUUUCUGAGUGCUGCCUUUCUUCCUUUUUUCUUUACUUUACUUGUUUUUUUUUUUUUUUUUUUUCAUUAAUUUCUUAUUAAUAAUUUUUUUGACGAACAGCUGCGAUUCAGGUAAGAAGCCAAUUUUUGUGCAAACCAGCCUUUUUUCACACUUUUUUUCGAAGUAAGUGACAAAAUUACGAAUUUGAUGGUUUUGAAAGUUUUGUGAAAUGAUGUGAUUUUAAAGUUUUUUCACUAAAAACAUGGGAAACAAGGCAAAAUCUGGAAAAAGAAGGAAGAAAUUCAAUCCAAAGCAGAAGCAUGGAAACCCAGACUUGAGCUCCUUGGCUUUGUUACAAGGCUCUCAAUGUUUUCAUAAUGAGGAUUCAGACAUGGAAUGGUCAGACUCUUCAGCAUCACAAACUUGGUGGUCUACAAAUUGGUCUACAAGAUGGAAGCAUGUCGUGCGUGUCACAAGUAUCUGGUUGUGACACUUCUUUUCAAAUCAACAAACUGCAGACUGAGAUACUCGUCCACGAGCAAAGAUUUUCUUUGAGUGGUGUGAUUCGAUACAAAAAUGAUUCGGCACACUAUGUGGCAUAUGUUCGGAAAAUGAAUGGACAUUGGGAAAUACAUGAUGACCUAAAGGAUGAGCCCCAGCUCAACCCAUCAACAAGCAAACACAUAAAUCUUAUCUUCUAAUUUAUACUGAAAUAUGGAAUGAGCUGGAAUCAUGAGUUGAAAGUUCGUUGUCACCUUCUUGUUUCAUUCGUUCAUCAGCACAUUUUCGUUUCACAGGAAAAACACUAGCACUUCAAUCUGCCCAAUUUUCGAAAUCCUUCUACUGUUGUAAUUGUAGACAUGUAUUAUGUAUUAUUGUAUUUGUAUUAUGUGUGUUUAAGAUUUCGUAGAUACAGUUGUAAAUACAGCAAUAAAAGUAUUCCUUUUUUUUAAAACACUUUUUUGAAGAACAAAAUUGUCAAGACAAAUCGUACAAAUUCCUUCGAACUGAACAUAACCUAUAAUCAAAAUAACAACACCAAUAGGCAAGUUCUAGUAGCAACAGCCGCCAUUCGGUGGUCAGCAAUCUCCAGUGUUGCACAACAGCGGUCACCGCUUAUGAAAAAAACGCCCCUCAAGAGCCUCUGAGAAGUUUUGAAACUUUCAGCCGUACUUUCUCUGCGCUUGUAAGUCUGAUUGUCAAUAUUUUUGGCUCAAAAAAUCAAGCAGAAAAUAAUCUAGAUCUUGUGGAUCUGCUUUUUGGAAUUUGAACAAUAUUAUCUCAGUAAUCGUCGAAGGAAAGUGAAAUUCUCAGUGGCGACUGGUGGCGCUAUCUCUAUUCUUGAAAUAUCCCUAAUCGAACCCUGGAUUCACCUUAAAGUCAGACCUUGCCUACACUAGAGUACCUGUGUACGGGAGAGUAUUGCCAUCUCAAUCCUUUGACUACAGAAAAAGUGUGCCGCUCUCUGAUUGGUCGGCUAUCACGG